UUGGCUAAGAAAGUUUUUGUAUAUUGUUACAAUUUGAAUAGAUGGUUUUGAAAAGAAGAAUUGGCCUUGAUAGGUUGCUAAAAGUGGUUCUGUGAAAGUGGAACAACUUAUGAAUAUUGAACGAUACUCGCAUGUGAUGCACAUAAGCUCAACGGUAAGUGGAGAGUUGCAAGAGCAUUUGAGUAGCUGGGAUGCCCUGCGUAGUGCAUUGCCAGUGGGAACUGUGAGUGGAGCACCAAAGGUGAAGGCGAUGGAGUUGAUUGAUGAGUUAGAGGUGACAAGAAGAGGGCCUUACAGCGGAGGAUUUGGAUACAUAUGUUUCUCCGGCGAGAUGGAUGUGGCUCUUGCUCUGAGGACAAUGGUAUUUCCGACAGGAACAAGGUAUGACACAAUGUACUCAUACAAAGAUCUCAACCAGCGACGCGAGUGGAUUGCUUACCUUCAAGCUGGUGCUGGAAUAGUUGCUGACAGUGUUCCUGAAGAUGAACACCAAGAGUGUCAAAACAAAGCUGCUGCUCUUGCUCGUGCCAUUGACUUGGCUGAGUCCUCAUUUGUUCAUAAAUAAUUAAUCGCUGCUUCUUUCCAUACAAACUUUAUGGAGUCGCAAAAAUUAUAUUAUGCAUUUUAUAAUAACUUUUAUGUUUAUUAGUAUUAUUAGUAAUAGUUUCGUAUUCAAUGCAAUGUGAUGUCUAAAGUUAUUAGUAUAUUUUUAUUAAGACCUAUCAGAGGAGAUAUAAAUCAUUAGUCUAUAGUUUUAUAAUUACUUUUAUGUUUAUAUUGUUAAUAAAAAGAACAUUUUGAAAAGAUAUUUUGAACUUUUUAGUAAAUUAUUUGUCGUACGGUGACUUAGACUAAGGAUUUAUAUCUGUUUUGAAGGGUCUGGAUUUAGUUAAUAAAAAUAUUAUUAAUAACAAGGAAUAUGUUGGCAUAACUUUAUUCUUAGAAAUAAAAUAAAUAAAUAACGACAAGUAAGCUUGUUGUACAAAUUUUGAAACGCAUCUAACAUACUACUGGGUUGUUAAUAAGAUUUUUGUUCACUAUGAUUGUUAGAAAAAGAAUGAUAAGUUGAUAAGUUAAACAUGGAAAAUUAGUAUUUUCUGACAUAAGAAUUAAAAUACAAACAAUGUUUAGAAUAAUAAACAUUAAAGAUAAAUAUAAUAGUGGACAAAACAAAUUGAAAAUUAUUUCCGACCUUAAGCAAAAAAGAAAAGUUCAACACGAUUAUCCUAAAAAUUAGGAAGGAAAAGAUUCAUUGUGAACAUGCAUAAAUUUUUGCAUGCUAGAAUUAGAAGCAGAAGUUGUUAAAGUAACAGAGUUUACACAGAUGUUUUCUGCGACAAUUCCAAUGUCUCUUACUUCCUUCACUCCUGCAAAUGCUUCUCUAUCUUUCUCCCGCCGCGUGGUUCCCCCCGGAAGCCGUUUAUCUCCGGUUGCACUCACUGGCAUAUCCUUCUCACGCGCUCCUUUCACGUUGAGGUGCUCUUCCCUAAAAAAUUCUUCCCAUCGUAAGUGUUUUUUUUCGUAAUCUUGAUCCCAGAUUCCCACGUUAAAUUAUAUGAAGAAUGACAAAAGGUGACUAUCUUUUUAUAAAGAUUUACUAUUGUUCCAUUUUUGAAUACAUUCUAUGUCUGAAUGGAUA
This 1639-nucleotide long non-coding RNA is filed under the name Vigna radiata. RNAcentral's name for it is "long non-coding RNA (VRAD_LNC002495)". Lineage: Eukaryota; Viridiplantae; Streptophyta; Magnoliopsida; Fabales; Fabaceae. The record is from RNAcentral.